Molecule: long non-coding RNA, 2541 nt
Filed under: Sus scrofa (pig)
Lineage: Eukaryota; Metazoa; Chordata; Mammalia; Artiodactyla; Suidae
Description: lncRNA (ENSSSCG00060064553.1)
Source: RNAcentral
AUAACUGAUACCAUGUGGAGCAGAAGAACCACUCCACCAAGUCCUGUCUGAAUUCCUAGCCCGUGACUCAUGAGCUAUAAUACAGUGAUAGUUAUUUUAAGUCUCUAAGUUUGGGGGUAUUUUCUUGUACAGCAAUAAAAACCUCAGUAUUACAUGAGUUACAAAAAGUACCCAGGGUCAGACCACUUUCCUCCAGAAGACAUACAUGUUAAAAUUAAAUGAAAACAGGAAUUGGUCACAGGGUACAAGCACAGGACCUUCUGGAAUUUGAGAGAUGUUCCUGGAUUGUCAAUGGGAAGAGAAAGUCCUAGAGUGGUAGCCAGGGUCCCUUCACCUUCCUGUGUAGCAAAGAUAAUUGUUGUUAUGUUUUAAGAUACACUGCGUCUUUACAGAACAGCCCUCUGCUAUAGAACAUACUAUGCUUUUUAGAACAGUGUGCUAUAAUAUUUAGCUCUCCCAUUAACACUGUGUGUCAUUUCCUAGUGUUGCUGUAACAAAUUACCAGAAGUUCCGUGCCUUAAAACAACCCUGAUUUAUUAUCUUGUAGUUCUGGGGGGUCAGAGACUCAAAAAUGGACACCCCCCCACUGGGCUAAAGUCAAGGUGUCCGUGGGGCCAUGUGUCUUCCGGAUGCUCGAGGGGAGUGUUUGUCUCUUUGCCUUUUCCAGCUUUCAGGGGCUCCCCGCACUCCUUGGCUCCUGGGAUGCUAACUUCAUCUUCAAAGCCAACAUGACCAGACAAGCCUUUCUUGCACUGCAUCAUUCUCACAGAAACUCUCCUGCCUCCUCCUUUCAUUUAUAAGGACUAUUGUGACUACACUGGGCCACUUGGAUAACACAGGAUAAUCUCCCCAUCUCAAGGUCGGCUGGUCAGCAACCUUACUUUCAUCUUCCACCUCAAUCUCCUCCCCUUUGUCUGUAACAUAACAUGUUCUCAUGCUGCAGGAAUAAAGACAUGGACGUCUUUGGGGAGCACAUUAUACUGCCCACCACACCCUAUAAGAUGGGAAUAUCUCUCUUUCACAAAUGCACGAGCUGAGGAUCAUGGCAGUUAAAUAAUUUUUCCAAGGUCACACACACCCAAUGUCCCUCCACCUGAAACCUGUAGAAUCGCAAGCUAAAAAGCAGGCAUAUUCUAGAAAAUGGCCAGAUAAGCCCUUCUAGAGGCAAGGAUGUCGUAUGGAAGUGGACUAAGCAAAUCACUAUGCCUCUUCACCAGCCCAUGAAAAUAUAAUUUUCUAGCAGCUUUGUGGUGGUGAGAAGCAUUAUUGGGGGUUUCCCCCCCGCCAGCUUCUCCAGCCCGAACAAAAGAGAGAGAAACCUUGUCUAGGAAAACCCCUCUGAGAUUGCUCGCUUAUCUGUCCCUGAGAAUUGAAGAAACACCAUUUCUCAUAUCCAGUAAAGCCUUCCGAUAAUGAACUCUGCGAUAAGGGGACUCCAUUCAUCGUGAAGCCACAAAUCGUUCCAGUGCAUCAACCCUUUCAGUCCCAACGGAGAUAAAGAAGGGCUGUUUUUGGAGCUCUCAAAAAGCAUUUUUGUGUGCCUCGGACCUAGAAAGCUCAAAAGGUGUCCCAGGCGGCACUCUGCCACCCUGCCCCAUGUGCACGAUCCCCCCAGUCCAGCUGCCGGCUUGUUCUCCUGCACGCACGUGACCCAGCAACCAGCCAGGUGCUUGAGAUACCUGCCCUUUGGUCCUCACCAAAACCCCUGGAGCUAGCUUACCUCUCUGACCCCUAGUUUCUACAUCUGCAGCAUGGGGAGAAGUGUGCCGUCAACAGCUAAAUAAGUGGUGGUAGGAUUCGAACCCAGCUCUGUUUGGCCCCAACCCCACGCCCUGGCCGCAUUGCCUUCUGCCUCGAACCUGCUUGCUUUGCCUUUCCACCCCACCUUGCCUGCCAUGGAACCUGCCCUACCUGCUCCUACUUUGGUGCCUCCUUUGGCCGAAAUUCCCUACCUCUUAUAGGGCAGCCUUUAUUCCUCUCUCUCCCUGGGUUUGAGUCAUUCUCCCAGGAUAGACUGUGAACUCGUCUGGGACAGAAUCUAUCCCCUACACAGGAUUUCCCUUGAGUUCAUCGUGGACUCAGCGUAGGGUUAGGGACACAGGAUGCUUUGAUCUGCAGAUUGACCUACUUUAUCAUUAGAGCUUCUUGGUUAUUGUGUAAAAAAAUCUCACUAUAAAUUUCCAUUCAGAAAGGUGGCUUGGGUCACUGCCAUGGCAUGGAUUCAAUCCCUGGCCCAGAUACUUUUGCACGCAGCGGGCACAACCAAAAAAAUAAGUUAAAGAACACAUGGGAGUUUCCAUCGUGGCUCAGUGGAAACGAGUCUGACUAGCAUCCAUGAGGACACAGGUUCUAUCCCUGGCCUCGAUCAGUGGGUUAAGGAUCCAGCGUUGCCAUGAGCUGUGAUGUAGAUCACAGACACAGCUGAGAACUGGCAUUGCUGUGGCUGUGCUAUAGGCCAGCAGCUAGAGCUCUGAUUGGACCCUUCGCCUGGGAACCUCCAUAUGCCACAGGUUCGGCCCUAUAAAAGACAAAAAGAAAAAA